Long non-coding RNA from Daphnia magna, 204 nucleotides. RefSeq lists it as uncharacterized. The transcript is spliced from 3 exons. The record is from RefSeq and is a predicted model, not a curated record. Lineage: Eukaryota; Metazoa; Arthropoda; Branchiopoda; Diplostraca; Daphniidae.
UCUUUGUUCUGUUCUUCAACGACGCCAAUCUGUCUUUGCUUCGCCGCCAUUCUUUUUCAAUUGUGUCAGCAGUUAUUCAAAGAAAUUCAUGAGCUGAUGCAGCGAAAUUUUUGUAAGUGAAAACUGAAAUUAACUUACUCUUUCAUCUUGGAUCUCAUCCCGAUCACUUAUCAGGUUAGCCAUUCUUGCUAAUUGUUUUCUCUU